Molecule: ribosomal RNA, 497 nt
Filed under: uncultured bacterium
Lineage: Bacteria
Description: partial 16S ribosomal RNA
Rfam family: Bacterial small subunit ribosomal RNA
Source: RNAcentral
GAUGAACGCUGGCGGCGUGCCUAAUACAUGCAAGUCGAGCGAACAGACGCGGAGCUUGCUCCUCUGUCGUUAGCGGCGGACGGGUGAGUCACACGUGGAUAACCUACCUAUAAGACUGGGAUAACUUCGGGAAACCGGAGCUAAUACCGGAUAAUAUAUUGAACCGCAUGGUUCAAUAGUGAAAGACGGUUUUGCUGUCACUUAUAGAUGGAUCCGCGCCGCAUUAGCUAGUUGGUAAGGUAACGGCUUAUCACGGCGACGAUGCGUAGCCGACCUGAGAGGGUGAUCGGCCACACUGGAACUGAGACACGGUCCAGACUCCUACGGGAGGCAGCAGUAGGGAAUCUUCCGCAAUGGGCGAAAGCCUGACGGAGCAACGCCGCGUGAGUGAUGAAGGUCUUCGGAUCGUAAAACUCUGUUAUUAGGGAAGAACAAAUGUGUAAGUAACUAUGCACGUCUUGACGGUACCUAAUCAGAAAGCCACGGCUAACUACGUG